AACGAACGCUGGCGGCAGGCUUAACACAUGCAAGUCGAGCGCCCCGCAAGGGUAGCGGCAGACGGGUGAGUAACGCGUGGGAACGUACCUUUUGGUUCGGAACAACUCCGGGAAACUGGAGCUAAUACCGGAUAAGCCCUAACGGGGAAAGAUUUAUCGCCGAAAGAUCGGCCCGCGUCUGAUUAGCUAGUUGGUGAGGUAACGGCCCACCAAGGCGACGAUCAGUAGCUGGUCUGAGAGGAUGAUCAGCCACACUGGGACUGAGACACGGCCCAGACUCAUACGGGAGGCAGCAGUGGGGAAUAUUGGACAAUGGGCGCAAGCCUGAUCCAGCCAUGCCGCGUGAGUGAUGAAGGCCUUAGGGUUGUAAAGCUCUUUUGUCCGGGAAGAUAAUGACUGUAGCGGAAGAAUAAGCCCCGGCUAACUUCGUG
Molecule: ribosomal RNA, 431 nt
Filed under: uncultured bacterium
Lineage: Bacteria
Description: partial 16S ribosomal RNA
Rfam family: Bacterial small subunit ribosomal RNA
Source: RNAcentral